UUGAUAGGGGACUUCAAAUGCAGAUGGCCUGCUCUGUUUCAGCAGAGUGAAGUGAAUGCGGAGUUUUUGAGGAUCACAACAUCACCACUUCAAUCAAAGUUCAUGUGGCAGCUGGACCACUUCUCAGACAAGCUCUUGAAGAUCUUCAAGACCAAAGGAGGAGUGAAGGGGCACAAAAUCAAGGAAGCCCUUGCAAUAUCAGAUUCGUUUGAAAACAUCCACAUCAAGAGGGGGUGCAUCCUGCGAAGCAUCGCGAUCUACCUCAACGAGGG
Gymnodraco acuticeps is the source of this 272-nucleotide long non-coding RNA. RefSeq lists it as uncharacterized. The record is from RefSeq and is a predicted model, not a curated record. Lineage: Eukaryota; Metazoa; Chordata; Actinopteri; Perciformes; Bathydraconidae. The transcript is spliced from 3 exons.